CACGGGGAGAGGCCCGACGCGGGGCCGAAGGAAGGGUGGUCUUUCCCGCAGAGUUGCCGCUGGAGGACCGAAAGUUUUGCAGGCAGCCCUUGCUUCCAUCUUGUCCCUCUCUCCCCGGGUCCCUGUCGCCCAACGCGAGGCGACCCCGCUGGGGUCCCGACGGCUUGGUGGGGAGGAGCCGUGAGGGGUUGCGCCCCCCACCCCCACCCGAGCCAGGGAAGGGACCCUGGUGACCUCGCCUCCCAGCCCUCACCCCCGUCACCCCUUUCUUCUCUUUCCUGGAGGACUUUGGACCGUGGAGAUUCUGCAGUUGUUGCUCUGGGAGCUGAAACCAGUGGGUAGAUGUCGUUCUGAAACGCAGAGAGCUGUGAUCACUUGAGGGUGUCGUGUCAACCUCGUCUCAUGCACCAGCUGAAUUCAGUGACACUAACAUCCUGGAUACUGCAGAUGAGAGUAUUAUGACUGCACUACCAGGGAAGCUGCCCAGGGCUGGAGAUUGCUGUGCUCCAGAGGUGCUUGGUUUGCAGUGUGGGCGGACUCAGCCUGAGCUAAAGCCACAGAAGCGUCUUGAGCUGGAGCCCCGUGCUAGUUUCUUCUUUUUUAAAGAUGUGUCCUGAGGAACCUCAGAUUUGAAAGAAGAGUGAACGGAAUUCAAAUGUGGAAACCACUUAAAUGUCCAUCAACUGAUGAAUGAAUAAACAAAUCAUGGUAUAUCCAUACAAGGAAUAUUAUUCACCCAUAAAAAGGAAUGAAGUCUUAAUACACCUACAACUGGAUGAACGUUGAAAACAUUAUGCUAUCCAUUCUGCUUCAGGUUGGAAAAAAAAACUGGAAAGGAGAAACAGUCUUACCUGCAUGAAAGUCCUAGUACUGCUGUAUCUCGUACUAUAAGUUCAGUUUUCUCCCUUCACCUGAGGGUAAGUUGAAGAAUAACUUCAUAAGCCAGGGAGAGAUACAUUUGGAUCAGGAGUUGGUGAUAACAGGUGAGCUCAAUAAUAAUCCUUUUUGCACUCAUGCUCAGAUGUUUUUUAUGCACCAAGCUUUAUAAUCAUGUAGGUAUACUCUAAGACAAAAACAGAUAAAACUCACCUAUAAGUUUGAGUCACAAAUAAAAUAGUUUGGAUUUUUCCAUGUUUCUGGUAAGUUCUUAUUCUUUGGUAAUAUAGGGAAUAUAUGUUUAUUCAACUACAGUUAAGGCAUAGAUAUAAUUUUAUACUCUGCAUUUUCGUUAUCUUCAGCAUUUGUUAUGUUUCUAUGGUUCAUUAUUGACAUUUUAAUGACUACAUAGUUUUGAUUGAAUAGCCUUACUAUAAUUUAUUUUGAUAUUUCUCUAUUAAGCCUUUUGACUGCAAAGUUUUCAAUAUUAGAAAUUGUACAUAAUAAAAAUAUUUCUGCAUAUAACUUUUAAUUUCCUUUGACUUCUUUUCUUUUUUUUUUUUUUUUUGAGACGGAGUCUCGCCCUGUCGCCCAGGCUGGAGUGCAAUACCACAAUCUCGUCUCACUGCAACCUCCGCCUCCCGCGUUCAGACGAUUCUCCUAUCUCAGCCUCCCGAGUAGCUAGGAUUACAGGCGCCUGCCACCAUGCCCAGCUAAUUUUUCUAUUUUUAAUAAAGAUGGGGUUUCACCGUGUUGGUCAGGCUGGUCUUGAAUUCCUGACCUCGUGAUCCACCCACCUUGGCCUCCCAAAGUACUGGGAUUACAGGCAUGAGCCACCGCACCCGGCCUUGACUUAUUUUCUUAAAAUAAAUUUCAUUUAAGUUACUGGAUCAAGGGGUGUGAACAUUUUAAGGUUCUUGAAUGCAGUAUCAAAUUGCUUUGGUAAAAGAUUGUACCAAUUUACACUGCUACCAGCAGGGUGUGGGUGUACAUUUUCAACAACUUGCCAGCACCGAAUUUCAUCAUUUAAAAAAGGUUUACAGAUUGUACAAAAUUUAAUUUAAUAUAAACUAAUAAAUUACUGCGUCCAACUUUUGAGCAUGCAUAAAAUUUUUUCCCCAUUUCUUUUUGGUGGCAUCCCUACUAUUUCGUAAACUGCUUGAGGGCAGUUUACAAACCUUGCACAUUGUAGAAAAUCAAUAAUUGCUUUUUGAAACAGUGAAUAAUUCAGGGAAUCCCUGCUCUCAAUAAUUCUUCAGUUUUUAUAAUAGCAGUGGGUUUUGGAUUGUUUUGUUUUCAAGAUAAACUAAAUUACACUUUAUUUCACUGAUGUUGGCAGCCCCGGAGGACUCUGUUUGCAGGAAAAAAAAUGUAUGAAGAUUUUCAUAGGUGAGAAGUAGACCUCUCCCACACAAUGAGAAGAGCAGCUAAAUCAUUGCUCUUUUCUCCCAGUCUGUCCCUGCACUCCCAUCUCAUUUCCUGUCUGCUCCUGAAAAGCCAGCUCAAUAUGAACUAAGGAAAAGCUAUUUGUAGUGCGCAUGGGAGGAAAAAGAACACAAAUAGGCCCUUCCUAAGCUAUUGAGCUUAGCUUUCACUCUUUCCAGCAGGAAAAGGGUCAUGCAUGCCCAGGUGAUACUACUUGUACUUCGGUACCCAUUGAUUGGGACAGUGUGUGCCGAUGAAAAGCUGCUGUGAAUUCAGUAUUGCUUUUUAAAUACGUAUUUUAAUUUCAAUAAUAUCUACAUAAAUUUCAAAAACAGCAAUUAAAAAAUAUGCUUGAGACCAAUUUAUCCGGCUACACCUAUUGGGUGCAUAUUUGCAUUCUCAGAUUCCUUAAAUGUCCUCUGCACGAAGGUUAGGAAACUGUGCCCUGACAAUAAAGCAGUAUCUUAUUAGAACUAAGAGGUUAACUAGUUAAGAGGACUAGAGAAGUCGUUGUUAACUGAUACUUUAUUAGUAUUUAAUACAGUAACCUGCCUCUGCUAGAAGUAAGGACUCCUCAACUUUUAAAGAUAGCUAAUUUUAGAAGUCUGCUUCCUACCGGUUCACCUUUUUCUCAUUGGUGACAGCAACAAACAAUUAAUGGCAUUCUUAAAUGUCUUGCUGUCUGAAAUAAGAUCUUUUUCCAAUUAAAAAGUAACAAAGACUGCACCUCUCCUCUGUUUCCUUCUUUGGCUUUAACAUCUUGACAUCUCUCUCUCUGUCUCCUGUUUUAUCUAAGACCGAGCUUACAUGAAAACAGAAUGAAUGGGUCAUAUGCUUCUGUUGCGGGGGCGGGGCGGGGGGACAGAUUAUUU
Long non-coding RNA from Symphalangus syndactylus (siamang), 3173 nucleotides. RefSeq lists it as uncharacterized. Lineage: Eukaryota; Metazoa; Chordata; Mammalia; Primates; Hylobatidae. The record is from RefSeq and is a predicted model, not a curated record.